Vitis riparia (riverbank grape) is the source of this 1503-nucleotide RNA transcript. It is a transcript of the gene named dnaJ homolog subfamily C member 17, with no coding region annotated. The transcript has 6 exons. Lineage: Eukaryota; Viridiplantae; Streptophyta; Magnoliopsida; Vitales; Vitaceae. The record is from RefSeq and is a predicted model, not a curated record.
GUUUAGUGUUUAACCCUUACACAAAAGCAUCCAAUCUUCCCAUCUCCAAACGCUGCGUUUCGGUGGAUCUCUACCCCGAUCACUGUUUGCAGACAAGAAUUCAGUCAUCCCUUCUCCAAACGCUGCGUCUCGUUGAUCUCUGAGUUAAAGCAAAGAAGUGAGAGAGAUAACAUGGUAAUGGAAAUGUGGUUUUCUUUUAUUUUUACUCAGUUUCUUGGUAACCAAACAGAGGGUCGGAUUUCACUUGAGUGGCCGGAUUGCACUUGAGUGGUUUAUGACUAGGAGAAGAUAAUGGAUAUGAAUGUUGACCAUUACAAUGUUUUGGGAUUACCAUCGGGUGAGGAAGGAGCCAAAUUAUCAGAGAAAGAGAUUUCAAAAGCCUACAGAGUGAAGGCUUUGGAGUUGCACCCAGAUAAGAGGCCAGAUGAUCCCCAAGCCCAUGCAAACUUCCAGAAGCUAAAAACCUCCUAUGAGAUUCUCAAGGAUGAAAAAGCAAGGAAGUUGUUUGACGACCUUCUACGAGUGAAACGUGAGCAGUUCCACCGACAAGCACAGUAUGAUGUUAAAAGGAGGAGGAUGGUUUCUGAUCUAGAGGAAAGAGAGCGGGCGGCUAAUGCUCCUGACCCAGCUUCUAAAGCCCGAGAAGAAGAGGAAAGAAUUACUAAGAAGCUAAAAGAAGAAAUUGCUAGAAUACGUGCAAUGCAUGCAAAUAAGGGAGCAUCAGGCUCAAGGAAAGAGGCACCAGGAACAAGAAAGGAGAGUGCAGCUGAUGGUGGAGGUGGUUUGAACAAGGAGAAAGUGCUAAAGGUCUCUUGGGAGAAGGGUGGGGAGGAUUACACUGCAGAGGGAUUGAGGGAGGUGUUUGCAAAGUUUGGUGAGGUUGAAGAUGUUGUUCUCAAGAGUUCCAGGAAGAAAGGUUCAGCACUUGUUGUGAUGGCCUCUAAAGAAGCAGCUGUGGCUGCUACUGGAAAUGUGUGUGGUCAUAUUUCAAAUCCAUUACUUGUGCUUCCACUUGAACCGGCUGUGGUUAUGGAGUUUCCCCCAAGGUCCAUGGAGCCUGAGCCCUCAAGUAAUCUGGUUGGAGCUGGAUAUCAAUCAUUUGAAGAAUCUGUUUUAAAGAAACUUCAAAAGGCUGCAGAAAAGCAGAAGUGACAUGCAAAAUAUAGCAAGAAGAGGUUUCCAAAUUCAUUAGGUAGCUCACAAUCUCUACCAAUUCUAACUACAGGAGAGCAGCAGAGCCUGUAAUUGCUGAAGAAGAUGGCAUUGAGGACAAACCGUCUUAAUAUUUUCAACCAAGAACCCGUUGUCAUUGUCAUCCGCUCUUUAAAUUCUUCGUGUUGCAACUUUUCGACAGAAAGUCAGAUCUGUACCCUAUGAAUUGAUAUUACUGAUUGGGUCUCAUGUAAAAGUGUAUCGGUUUAGAGAUGAGACAUUUCAGGCGAUUUAAAUCUCAACAAUUUGAAAUUUUUCAUAUUUUAAGCAUGCAUUUUAUUUUUUCUUCCC